Molecule: non-coding RNA, 439 nt
Organism: Solanum lycopersicum (tomato)
Lineage: Eukaryota; Viridiplantae; Streptophyta; Magnoliopsida; Solanales; Solanaceae
Source: RefSeq, a predicted model, not a curated record
AUAUUGGAAAUAAAGGAACAUACAACAGUGUUUGUCAAAUGAAGAUGAACAUCAAAUUUUUGCUACUGGAUAUAAGAAUGUUGCUACCAGAUGGCUAAAGAAUUAUAACUCAAUAUUCCUUGAAGAUGAAAUGUUGAUAAAUUGGAAAUGAGAGAAUGGGCUCUACACUGUUGGAUUUUAAAAAAGGGGCAUUUCGGAUAUUUCAAUGGAUGCUAUAGCUAUUGCCGAUACUAUUGAAACCGUCAUAAGAGACAAAAUCUAGACUUUUAAUAUAUUGAACAGUUGAGUACCCAUAGACACGUGAGUGCUUUAGCUGCUUUGGUUGUAAAGCUAUACGACGCUUAGCACCCGAGAGAACGGGAAUUCGGAUCUCGAUUUUUUUUAGGUUUAUUAUAAUUGCUUUCAUACAUUAUUACAAAACAUUUUCUCUUCUUUUCUA